This 546-nucleotide ribosomal RNA is filed under the name Mystrium rogeri. RNAcentral's name for it is "partial 28S ribosomal RNA". The stretch from base 1 to 78 matches the Rfam family "Bacterial large subunit ribosomal RNA", at positions 481 to 559 of the family's 2925-position model. The record is from RNAcentral. Lineage: Eukaryota; Metazoa; Arthropoda; Insecta; Hymenoptera; Formicidae.
AGACCGAUAGCGAACAAGUACCGUGAGGGAAAGUUGANAAGAACUUUGAAGAGAGAGUUCAAGAGUACGUGAAACCGUUCAGGGGUAAACCUAAGAAACCCAAAAGAUCNNACGGGGAGAUUCAUCGUCNGCGGNGUUGGCUUCGCGUCGGUGGGCGAUGUCCCGCGAGNUNNCUCGCGGGCACGCUACCGUGCGCGCACNUCCGAYGUCGUCNUCGUGCACUUCUCCCCUANUAGGACGUCNCGACUCGCUGGGUGUCGGUCUACGGNCCGAGUGCGGUGUCUGUCGCGUCGCCGGUAAAACGGCACGCGGCAAACCCUNGGUCGCCCGGCCGGCUGCCCGGCGGUACUCGCAAGGUAUCAGGCCGCGAARUGCUCUUCGCGUCAAGCCCGUCGCAAGCGCGCGCCACGGCANNCGGAGGUACGGACYUAGCGCCGUCCCCGGUCCUGGUCCGCUGUUGGCAGAACGGUGACCCUUUGACAGGCCUUWACCGGGGGCGGGCGGUGSCUCGCGCGCCGCUCCCCUNGAUACCGGUCGGCGACGCUA